This 397-nucleotide ribosomal RNA is filed under the name uncultured bacterium. Its description in RNAcentral is "bacterial SSU rRNA". It matches the Rfam family "Bacterial small subunit ribosomal RNA", at positions 521 to 916 of the family's 1533-position model. The record is from RNAcentral.
UAACACGUAGGAGCCUAGCGUUAUCCGAAUUUACUGGGCGUAAAGCGCGUGUAGGCGGUUCGAUAAGUUGGAUGUGAAAGCUCCUGGCUCAACUGGGAGAGGUCGUUCAAUACUGUCGGACUCGAGGAUGGUAGAGGGAGGUGGAAUUCCCGGUGUAGUGGUGAAAUGCGUAGAUAUCGGGAGGAACACCAGUGGCGAAAGCGGCCUCCUGGACCAUUCCUGACGCUCAGACGCGAAAGCUAAGGGAGCAAACGGGAUUAGAAACCCCGGUAGUCUUAGCUGUAAACGAUGUGGACUUGGCGUUGGUGGGGUAAAAGCCAUCAGUGCCGAAGCUAACGCGAUAAGUCCACCGCCUGGGGACUACGGCCGCAAGGUUAAAACUCAAAGGAAUUGACGG